Molecule: ribosomal RNA, 496 nt
Filed under: uncultured bacterium
Lineage: Bacteria
Description: partial 16S ribosomal RNA
Rfam family: Bacterial small subunit ribosomal RNA
Source: RNAcentral
AUGAACGCUGGCGGCGUGCCUAAUACAUGCAAGUCGAGCGAACAGACGAGGAGCUUGCUCCUCUGACGUAAGCGGCGGACGGGUGAGUAACACGUGGAUAACCUACCUAUAAGACUGGGAUAACUUCGGGAAACCGGAGCUAAUACCGGAUAAUAUAUUGAACCGCAUGGUUCAAUAGUGAAAGACGGUUUUGCUGUCACUUAUAGAUGGAUCCGCGCCGCAUUAGCUAGUUGGUAAGGUAACGGCUUACCAAGGCAACGAUGUGUAGCCGACCUGAGAGGGUGAUCGGCCACACUGGAACUGAGACACGGUCCAGACUACUACGGGAGGCAGCAGUAGGGAAUCUUCCGCAAUGGGCGAAAGCCUGACGGAGCAACGCCGCGUGAGUGAUGAAGGUCUUCGGAUCGUAAAACUCUGUUAUUAGGGAAGAACAAAUGUGUAAGUAACUAUGCACGUCUUGACGGUACCUAAUCAGAAAGCCACGGCUAACUACGUG